RNAcentral lists this ribosomal RNA (494 nucleotides) under uncultured bacterium. RNAcentral describes it as "partial 16S ribosomal RNA". It matches the Rfam family "Bacterial small subunit ribosomal RNA", at positions 28 to 507 of the family's 1533-position model. The record is from RNAcentral.
GACGAACGCUGGCGGCGUGCUUAACACAUGCAAGUCGAACGGAAAGGCCUGCUUUCCCUUGUGGAUUGCGGGUACUCGAGUGGCGAACGGGUGAGUAACACGUGAGUGAUCUGCCCCCAACUCGGGUAUAAGCCUGGGAAACUGGGUCUAAUUCCCGAUAGGACUGCAGGGGGGUGUCGGUGGUGGAAAACGAUUUUCUUGUGGUUGGGGAUGAGCGCGCGGCCUAUCAGCUUGUUGGUGGGGUAAUGGCUUACCAAUGCGGGGACGGGUAGCCGGCCUGGGGGAGUGGGCGGCCACAUUGGGACUGAGAUACGGCCCAGGCUCCUACGGGAGGCAGCAGUGGGGAGGAAUGCGCGAUGGGCGGAGGCCUGAUGCAGCGACGCCGCGGGGGGGAUGACGGCCUUCGGGUUGUAGACUCCUUUCGGCCGCGAGGAAGCCACCUGGUUGGAAGGGUGGUGACGGUAGUGGUAGAAGAAGCACCGGCUAACUACGUG